Molecule: ribosomal RNA, 239 nt
Filed under: uncultured bacterium
Lineage: Bacteria
Description: partial 16S ribosomal RNA
Rfam family: Bacterial small subunit ribosomal RNA
Source: RNAcentral
GCGGAGCGUUGUUCGGAAUUAUUGGGCGUAAAGCGCGUGUAGGCGGUUUGUUAAGUCUGAUGUGAAAGCCCCGGGCGUCAACCUGGGAAGUGCAUUUGGAUACUGGCAGACUUGAAUACGGGAGAGGGCAGUGGAAUUCCUGGUGUAGGAGUGAAAUCCGUAGAUAUCAGGAGGAACACCGGUGGCGAAGGCGGCUGCCUGGACCGAUAUUGACGCUGAGACGCGAAAGCGUGGGUAGC